RNAcentral lists this transfer RNA (73 nucleotides) under Weissella tructae. Its description in RNAcentral is "tRNA-Und (NNN) (tRNA-Und-NNN-1-1)". It matches the Rfam family "tRNA". Rfam says of the family: Transfer RNA (tRNA) molecules are approximately 80 nucleotides in length. Their secondary structure includes four short double-helical elements and three loops (D, anti-codon, and T loops). Lineage: Bacteria; Bacillati; Bacillota; Bacilli; Lactobacillales; Lactobacillaceae. The record is from RNAcentral.
GGGACUGUAGCUCAGCUGGUUAGAGCGCACCCUGAUAAGGGUGAGGUCGGAGGUUCGAGUCCUCUCAGUCCCA